CCAAAAUUGUCUCACGCCGUGAAAACGCGGAUUUCCCAUUGCCGACGUUUUCUUCCUGACAGGCUUUAUGCGACAGCUCAUGCAACGCGUGUUUGGGGUUUACAGUCCGCCUAUGGUGUAGAUUGGUGUGGCUUCCUGCAUGCGGGAUGCAUCUUCAUCCCGAGUCAUAUUGCUGGCAACGACUACUUAAUCAUGUCUCGCCAUAGUUAAAAUUAUUGCUUUCCGUUGGUUAAUAUCCAAAAGCGAUGCAACAAAGCGAGGGGCAAGGAAUGAGCCUGAAAGUUCGGUUGGAAGCGAAAGUCGAAGCGGUUCAGUGGAAGCAUCCAUCGAGUAAACCGGUCAUUCUUUCUUUAUUGAAGGGGAGACGAUUCAAUGGAAAGUCAUAUUACUUACCUACUUUGUCUGUCAGUAUUUUGCCUGAUUGUAAGCAUGUUAUCUUCAACACUCCAAAGAUAAGUACACAGACUUCUUCAAUGGCAAUGGAAAAGGUUGGCCUGGAAUCACUUCUUCCUGUUGAAACUGAAACCUCAAGUAGCGAUACAAAACCAUCCAUAAACUGGUCAUGACACAAAGAACCUAUUGGAAUUAGGAGUGGUAAAAAUUUCUCUAGCAACGACUUGCUAGAGUAGUUGUACUCAGCUAAAGAUAAAAGUAUUUUCUAUGGUAUACAAACAGGUGUACAAAUGAAAUAGAUCUACUUAGUGUGACAUUUGGAUGGCAGGUUAGCUAAAGCCUAAAACAUAUAAUGCUCUAAAAAAAGUAUAAAUAUAUGUUAAUAUUCUUCUUGCUUAUAAUAUCUACUCCAAAAACUCUGGGAUCUUGAUGCAUAUGAUAUGUUUAAGGCACUAAUGCUCUUUAACGUCAACUUUGAUUAAACAGAAUUAUGGACCAUUUUUUGAUACAUGGGAAGCAUGAAUCAAUGAUCCUAUAAUGUUGCUAGGUUUUAAAAAAGGCAGAAAAGAUUUGACCUUCCAGAAGUGGAAUUAUCAGAUUGGUUUAAGGAUGAACACCAACAUCUAUAUUCAAAAACAGGGGCAAACAUUGUUCAAUGGAAUUCAGGAACAUACCCUCCCAGUAAUACUGCCCUGAUAUGGUACAGGGUAAGAAGUUUGAUUAUGUUUUUGUUGGCAAAAUAGGGGCAAACGUUGUUCAAUGGAAUUCAGGAACAUACCCUCCCAAUAAUACUGCCCUGAUAUGGUACAGGACUGAGUUCAAUGCACCAAAAGGAAACAAUGCAGUGGCUUUGGACCUGACCACCAUGAGUAAAGGCCAAGCAUGGGUAAAUGGCCAUCAUAUUGGGCGCUAUUUUCCUUCAUUCAAUGCUCCUACAGAUGGGUGCUCCGAUACAUGUGAUUAUAGAGGAACCUAUUAUCCAACCAAUUGCGUCACUGGUUGUGGAAAAUCAUCUCAAGAAUGGUAAUAGGAUUUACAUGAAUUAAGAAGAUGCCUUGGCACCUUGCCAUUCAUUUGGUACCAAAAACCAGUUAAAAACAUUUGUUUUACAGCUAUUUCAUAGUUUAUGAGGCAAUUUUGAUUUAUUUAUCAAGUGCCAUGUCCCUCACUCCUGGUUUCACCCCACAAACAAUGUAUUAGUAUUACUUAAGGAAAUUGUUGGCGACCCAUCUAGAGGUCAUAGAGCAACAACAGCAGAAGAAGAGCCCUGAACUUGAUGCUGUCAGCUGUUCUUCUCUCAUCAGUGGGUCAUGUGGGUUUCAAGGAGCAAUUUUCUUAGCUUGUGCAUUUAUUCUUCACACGACAAACAAGGUCUUGGGGUUAUGAAUUCUUGAAAGUCUCUAUAGAUUGCAGGUGCUAGUUGGCGGUAGAAUUCAAGUUUUGUUUGCAUGUUGCUCUGAAGUGGCAAUAACCGAAGAGUUUUGGAAGAAAUACAUUUAUGCUUUUAACAAUGGUUAGUUGUGAAGUAAUUUUUUGUCUGUAAUGAUCCCACUCAUUACACGUUUCGAGAAACAAAUUUUGUAGAUAUAAAUGACAGAAUUUGUCUUUCAGAAUAUUACAACAUGCUUAGCAUAAAAAAUUGUAUUG
Long non-coding RNA from Cryptomeria japonica (Japanese cedar), 2040 nucleotides. RefSeq lists it as uncharacterized. Lineage: Eukaryota; Viridiplantae; Streptophyta; Pinopsida; Cupressales; Cupressaceae. The transcript is spliced from 7 exons. The record is from RefSeq and is a predicted model, not a curated record.